This 143-nucleotide ribosomal RNA is filed under the name uncultured Achromobacter sp. Its description in RNAcentral is "partial 16S ribosomal RNA". It matches the Rfam family "Bacterial small subunit ribosomal RNA", at positions 335 to 484 of the family's 1533-position model. Lineage: Bacteria; Pseudomonadati; Pseudomonadota; Betaproteobacteria; Burkholderiales; Alcaligenaceae. The record is from RNAcentral.
ACUCCUACGGGAGGCAGCAGUGGGGAAUUUUGGACAAUGGGGGAAACCCUGAUCCAGCCAUCCCGCGUGUGCGAUGAAGGCCUUCGGGUUGUAAAGCACUUUUGGCACGGAAAGAAACUGUCAUGGGUCUAAUACACCGUGAA